This 912-nucleotide long non-coding RNA is filed under the name Cicer arietinum (chickpea). RNAcentral's name for it is "long non-coding RNA (CARI_LNC002137)". The record is from RNAcentral. Lineage: Eukaryota; Viridiplantae; Streptophyta; Magnoliopsida; Fabales; Fabaceae.
UUUAAGAGGAAGCUUUCAUUUCAGUUUUGAUUGCAUCAACCAGCUGAUCAUAAGCUUCUCCCCAUGCAUUCUUCAUUGCUGGUGACCACAUUUCAGGUACUGCUUCUUUUAUUGUCUCCAAAAGUGCAAACUUUGUUACCUUAACAAAAUCAAAACAAGUUAUACAUUGUCUUUUAUAAAACUAUUCUGCCAAAGUAAACAUUACUUCUUAUGUUAGCUUAUAAGAGCAAACAUGAUUGACACUUGCAAUAAAACAUACUCAUUGAAAAUUUAUAUAUACCUCAAAAUGCUCGUCUACUACACCGUUUUUAAAAUGGGUAGCACCAAGUUUUUUCAAGUUUGAUUCUCUCACAGUUACUUUACCAGCCUUCCGCAGUUGGAUUGCUGAUUCACAUGUCUGCAAUAACAAUAACAACAUAAUUACUAACUGGUGUUUUUUCUUAAUCAUCCAAAAAGAUGUGACAUGAUACAAGAAAAAGUAUAAUUAAUUACUGAUGAAAAAUUGAAGUUUUUUCUCUAAUAUAGAAUUAAUUAGUUACAAAAUUAGAAAACGGAUUUCAUAUUUUCCUUCACUAAAUUUUCUUAGCUUAUUUUGAAUUUUUUUUUGUAGUGACUUACCAUGAGAAAGACAGACAUGGCAUGUGGCUUGAGCUUGGGAUUUUGGUCCAAAGGAACUUUUGAAUCUUUCAAGAAUGAGAACAGUUUCUGAGCUGAUGGAGCAAUUUCAAAUAUUCUACAAAAUAAUAAAUAAAAAAAUCAGUUCAAUUGCUAAAACCUUUAUAACACUGACAUUUCUUAUCAAAGACGUGUCUGAUGUAUGAUGUAUAUGUUAAUAUUUGUACUUCAUAGGUUAAAAUAAAUCAAGAUGAUAAGUUUAAAAUGUGAAGAAAUUAAUUAAGGCCUUACUUCAAG